GAUUGAACGCUGGCGGUGGGCUUAACACAUGCAAGUCGUGCGAGAAAGUAUCUUCGGAUAUGAGUAGAGCGGCGGACGGGUGAGUAACGCGUAGGAAUCUACCUAGUAGAAGGGGAUAGCCCGGGGAAACUCGGAUUAAUACCGUAUACCUCCUUCGGGAGAAAGAAGGCCUCUCUUUGAAGCUUUCGCUAUUAGAUGAGCCUGCGUAAGAUUAGCUUGUUGGUGAGGUAAAGGCUCACCAAGGCGACGAUCUUUAGCGGGUCUGAGAGGACGAUCCGCCACAUUGGGACUGAGACACGGCCCAGACUCCUACGGGAGGCAGCAGUGGGGAAUAUUGGACAAUGGGCGCAAGCCUGAUCCAGCCAUACCGCGUGUGUGAAGAAGGCCCUAGGGUUGUAAAGCACUUUAAGUUGGGAAGAAAAGUUAUUGGUUAAUACCCAAUAACCGUGACAUUACCAUCAGAAUAAGGACCGGCUAAUUCCGUGCCAGCAGCCGCGGUAAUACGGAAGGUCCAAGCGUUAAUCGGAAUUACUGGGCGUAAAGCGCGCGUAGGUGGUUUAUUAAGUUGGAUGUGAAAUCCCCGGGCUCAACCUGGGAACUGCAUCCAAAACUGAUUCACUAGAGUACGAUAGAGGGAGGUAGAAUUCACAGUGUAGCGGUGGAAUGCGUAGAUAUUGUGAAGAAUACCAAUGGCGAAGGCAGCCUCCUGGAUCUGUACUGACACUGAGGUGCGAAAGCGUGGGUAGCGAACAGGAUUAGAUACCCUGGUAGUCCACGCCGUAAACGAUGUCAACUAGCUGUUGGAAAACUAUGUUUUUCAGUGGCGCAGCUAACGUAGUAAGUUGACCGCCUGGGGAGUACGGCCGCAAGGCUAAAACUCAAAUGAAUUGACGGGGACCCGCACAAGCGGUGGAGCAUGUGGUUUAAUUCGAUGCAACGCGAAAAACCUUACCUAUACUUGACAUACUUGGAAUGCUUUGUAAUGAAGCAGUGCCUUCGGGAGCCAAGAUACAGGUGCUGCAUGGCUGUCGUCAGCUCGUGUCGUGAGAUGUUCCGUUAAGUCGGAUAACGAGCGCAACCCUUACCCUUAUUUGCCAGCGACUCGGUCGGGAACUAUAAGGGGACUGCCGGUGAUAAACCGGAGGAAGGUGAGGACGUCGUCAAGUCAUCAUGGCCCUUACGUAUAGGGCUACACACGUGCUACAAUGGAGAAUACAGACGGACGCUAAGCCGCGAGGUGGUGCUAAUCCUAGAAAAUUCUUCGUAGUCCGGAUUGGAGUCUGCAACUCGACUCCAUGAAGUCGGAAUCGCUAGUAAUCGCGAAUCAGCAUGUCGCGGUGAAUACGUUCUCGGGUCUUGCACUCACCGCCC
Molecule: ribosomal RNA, 1371 nt
Filed under: uncultured bacterium
Lineage: Bacteria
Description: bacterial SSU rRNA
Rfam family: Bacterial small subunit ribosomal RNA
Source: RNAcentral